Molecule: microRNA precursor, 101 nt
Organism: Macaca nemestrina (pig-tailed macaque)
Lineage: Eukaryota; Metazoa; Chordata; Mammalia; Primates; Cercopithecidae
Source: Ensembl
UGAGGCAGGAGAAUUGCUUGAACCCAGGAGGUGGAGGCUGCAGUGAGCCAAGAUUGAGCCACUGCACUCCAGCCUGGGUGACAGAGCGAGACCCCGUCUCA